GGGAGAUGAAGGCUGCCUUCUUACUGAACUUGAUUUGUUUCCAUUGGUUUCAUUGUUUGCAGAUGCAUCGGUUCCUCAUCUCAUGUGAGUGUGAUGCCAACCUGCAAGAUUGCCCAGCUAUGGGACAAGGAGCCUGUAUUUGGUCAGAUGAAGUUAAGGUGCUGUUUUCCCAGAUCCGUCUCGGUGGGAAGCAAGGAGCGUUACUGCUUGAGAAGUGGACUUGGGCUUCCCUCGGUGAACAAGGGGAGAUGCAGGUCAGUGUGAGGAGAGCUUUUAAUGUUGUGUGGAGGAGGGAAACGGACAU
This 304-nucleotide long non-coding RNA is filed under the name Lepisosteus oculatus (spotted gar). RNAcentral's name for it is "lncRNA (ENSLOCG00000023031.1)". Lineage: Eukaryota; Metazoa; Chordata; Actinopteri; Semionotiformes; Lepisosteidae. The record is from RNAcentral.